Long non-coding RNA from Vollenhovia emeryi, 341 nucleotides. RefSeq lists it as uncharacterized. The transcript has 3 exons. The record is from RefSeq and is a predicted model, not a curated record. NCBI's taxonomy places the organism in Eukaryota, Metazoa, Arthropoda, Insecta, Hymenoptera, Formicidae.
UUUUAUAUAUCUAAUGAAAGUAUUAUUUACAGAUUGCCAAAAAGGAAAGCAGAUUUUACAGAGCAGCUUAACAUGAGAUGUAAAGCCGACAGGGCGAAGUUAAACGGCUGGGAUUGCUGGGAAUGCAAAGAGUAUUAUGAGAAUUUGUCGCUGUCGAAAGAAGAACUACAGAAAAAGGAGGAAUCAAUGCCCGCGACAUCGACACAAAUAUGAGCGACCAAACACACCAGAAGGUUUUUGGAAUCCAGAAUUUCCUGAGACGUUGUCAUGCACCUAUCGACAGAAUUGAAGCCGAAAUGUGUCCUUAUGCCAAUCUGAUUCUCAAGCUUCAAUAUGGUUCG